CCUCAGUAAAUCAGUGAGACCCAAUUUCAUCAUCAAUCUGCCCCACCAAGAUCCCUAAAAAUACACUUAUCGAUCCAAUCUUCAUGUCGUCGAAAAAGUCGCAAUCGCCAUCGCCGCCUAGGGAUUUUUUUUAUAUUGGAGGGAGAAAUCUCCAGAGACGACACAUCAAUAAUGAUAACCAAUGCAAAGGUGUUGUGCAGCCAUAGAGACGGAUGAACAUUUAUUCUUUAACUGUCCCUAUGUGCAAAUGAUAUGGAGAGGAUCGGGCGUGUCAAGUACGGUGAUCAAUAACACACAGACGACUUUUGAGGAAAAGCUGGAAACAUCUAUAGAGGGUUCUACUUCAAGAGCUUUGGCGCACAUACAUGAUUUACCCAUCUCAUUCUGUGGCGUAUUUGGAAGAGUCUUAAUAUACUUAUCUUUCAA
Long non-coding RNA from Brassica oleracea var. oleracea, 426 nucleotides. RefSeq lists it as uncharacterized. NCBI's taxonomy places the organism in Eukaryota, Viridiplantae, Streptophyta, Magnoliopsida, Brassicales, Brassicaceae. The record is from RefSeq and is a predicted model, not a curated record. The transcript has 2 exons.